AGUAGCGGUGAAAUGCGUAGAUAUCUGGAGGAAUACCAAAGGCGAAGGCAGUCCCCUGGUCCGAUACUGACACUGAGGUACGAAAGCGUGGGGAGCAAACAGGAUUAGAUACCCUGGUAGUCCACGCCCUAAACGAUGUCGAUUAGCCAUUGGAAGGACCCCUUUUCCUUUCAGUGACGUAGCUAACGCGUUAAAUCGACCGCCUGGGAAGUACGACCGCAAGGUUAAAACUCAAAGGAAUUGACGGGGACCUGAACAAGCGGUGAAUGAUGUGGAUUAAUUCGAUGCUACGCGAAGAACCUUACCUACCUUUGACAUGGCCAAAGUUCUACCGAGAGGCGGAAGUACUCGUAAGAGGAUUGGCGCACAGGUGCUGCAUGGUUGUCGUCAGUUCGUGUCGUGAGAUGUUGGGUUCAGUCCCGCACCGCACGCAACCCUUAUCUUUAAUUGCUCCUAUUUUAACAGGCACUUUAAAGAAACUGCCAAUGAUAAGUUGGAGGAAGGUGGGGAUCACGUCAAGUCCGCAUGGCCUUUAUAGGUAGGGCUUCACACGUCAUACAAUGGUUAGAACAAAGAGCUGCAAAUUCGUAAGAAGGAGCCAAUCUCACAAACCUAACCUCAGUUCGAAUUGCGGUCUGCAACUCGAGCGCAUGAAGCCGGAAUCGCUAGUAAUCGUGGAUCAGAAUGCCA
Molecule: ribosomal RNA, 690 nt
Filed under: uncultured Candidatus Tremblayella sp.
Lineage: Bacteria; Pseudomonadati; Pseudomonadota; Betaproteobacteria
Description: bacterial SSU rRNA
Rfam family: Bacterial small subunit ribosomal RNA
Source: RNAcentral